CUCUCUCUCUCUCUCUCCUUUCUUUUCUCGGCUUAACCCUAGCGUCGUAGGAAAAAAUCGAAAUAUCUUACAAAAUUCGAAUUUGUUUUCAUAUUGUAAGUGCUGAAAAUACUUAGGGUUUGUUCUAAAUUUGAACCCUUACCAUUUUCAGUAAGUUAAAAUUUUAAAUAUUAUUUUGGUUGUUAUUGUGUGGCUCGUGUUCUGGGUUGAGUAUUUUGAGGUUUGAAGCAUCCAAGUCUCAUCUCUUUCAGGCUGCACAUCUACAAGGUAAUACUCUUCUUAUUUGUUUAAUUUCAAUUCUGUCUCAGUUAAUUAUUUAUUAGCUUAAUAUUUGCUUCCUAAUAUGAUUUGAGUAUGUCAUUAGGGGUUAGUUUAAGAUUUGAUAUAUAAGGUAAAUCAGGUCUUGUUCUAUAAAGUAUUAGCUAAGGGUAACGGAUUUAGCUAAAUAGGCUUAGACAGUUCACUUAUUUAUUUAAGUAAGCUAGGUGUAAUGUCUGAAUGAAUAAAAGGAUAUGAGUUUCUUAAUCAGAUUAAGUCCAUUUGGUUAGUUUAGGUGUGAUUGAAAUUCAAAAACUUCUGUACCACCUAACAUAAGAGUGAAUGGUUAGUUUUAAGUUAAGAAUAAGAUUGGAUCUUAAAAGGGAUAUUGUGUGAAGAUGUUGGCACAUUUGAAUUUGACUUGUAAACCUGUUAAGCUAGGUGUAACUUUGAGUGAACUAUUUCAAGAAAGAUGAAGUGUGAUUAAGUUGUUGCUUAUAAUUUUGGUCUGUUUGUUGACGAUGAUUGUUUACUUUAUGGAUUCACAGAUGUCAUUUAUUUCAUUAGGGAAAAACUGAUUUUUUUUUUGGUGUACCUGAAUAACCUUACAAUUUGAACUAGACUCUGUGAAUUUUGUUUCCUUUUUGGAGGAAGAGGUCUUUCCAGUCAGCUGAUAAGUUGUUAUUGUUUGCAAUAUAGGUAAAAUGAAGUUAGAAUUUUCUGUUUACCUUGUCUGAAUGAAAUACCGAAGUCCAGAGUUAAAAAAAAAGAAAGAAAUAAUCUACUCAUGAUUUCUUUUCCUACUUGGUAUUGAGUCUCUAAAUGGGAUCUUAUCUAGGUGUGUGAGUUUGUUGCUUCAAUAUGUGCAAGUGUGUAUGAAAUUUACAAUGAUUAGUUUGAGUUGUUGCUUUGAAACAGGAUGAACUUCAUUUCAAAAUAAUUUUGUUUUAAAAAAUCUGGAUAUUUGACUUAAUAUCACAAUGUUAUACUGUCAAUGUUCUAACUUUGAUAACUUGAUGUUAUACACUUAGUUUUCUGGAAAUGGGAUUGAUUUUAUUUGUUGAUCCAACCUAAAAAAUCAACUAAGAAGCUUUUUGAGUCAGGGCUGUGGAAUUGAGUUUGUUUCAAAACCUUUUUUUUAAGCUGAAUUUAACAUAACAUGUCUUUGUGAACUGUGUUUAAGCUUUAUGAUAGCAAAGAUAGUCCCUUAUGUUCUGUGAACCUGUAAAGUAUUCACCUGCUCUGUUUUGGCAUAAACAAUCUUCAUAUGAUACAGUUGUCUAAACUUCACUUGACUUUAAGCUUGGAAAUCUGUCCAGUGUGUUUUGACACAUCGUGUAAUGAAGACCUGGGUGGAUUUUAAAAACUAAAAGAAGGCUAAGGCUUUAAUACAAGAGUAGUUUGUUUAAUUACUUGUCUGUGCUUGGUGAAUAAGCCUAAAAUUGAAUUGGUAUCCUGUUGAGGCAUGACUAUGCCAAUGCUGGAAGUUCUGGGACUCAUCGGUGCCUGCCUAUCUUUAAAUUUUAAACUUGAUGGGACCUUAACUUGACCAAAUGCAUAGAUGGCUGGAUUAGGAAAUUGUUUUGAAUCACUUAUCGUUUAUGUGUGUCUCAUGGAACAUUGAAUGUUGACUGUUUAUUUGCCACUGAUGUACAUGAUUGUAGAUGACUGCUUGUUGACUGUUUUGCUAUUUCUGUGCUUGUAUUUAAUUUAAAUAAGACAAAGACCUUGAUAUAUGCAUAUAUACCUCUAUUUUACUCUUAAUAUACAUGGGUAGGGAGACUUAGUUAGCCAUUAAGGAUUAAGCUUAAGUCCUCCCCAGUGUUUGCCAUGUCUAGGGUUCAUGAAACCCCCUUGAAUCUUGUGCGACAUCGGGAAUAUGAGGGUAAAAGCUUUCUUUCAUUGGCUACUCUAUAUCCCUAUAAGUGUAUAAAUAGGUGUAUAUGGGCAGUAUAUACAAGUAUAUCCAUAUGACUUUGACUUAUUUAAAAUAACUUGGGUCUAUCUUUUAAGGUUUUAAUCCAUAGCCUCAAUUUGAUUUAGUUAUGCAGCCUAUAUUUAGCCUACUUUAUUUAUACUUUGAUGUACUUGUCUAAAAUUGGAUAUUAAUUUUGUACUCCUUGUGUUAUGUGUGCAAAACACUGGGCCGAGGCCCAGUUCCAAGUUCAGGUCGAGUCCUAUUGGAAGUUGAAAGGGAAGCAAAUAUUGUGUUGAAGGCACAUCUAUGGGUCCUGAAAACUACACAUUGUGGAGUAGAUCAAUGAAGUUAGCAUUGAGAGGAAAAUGUAAACUCGGAUUCAUAAAUGGCACUUGUAUGAAGAGCAAGUACAAGGGAGAUUUGGAUGAACUAUGGGAGAAAAGUGAUGCAAUUGUGCUAUCAUGGAUAGAAAGUACAGUUUCGAGUGAAUUGAUACCUAGUAUCAUGUAUGCUGCUAGUGCUAAGAAAAUUUGGGAAGAGUUUAAGGAGAGAUUUGAUAGGUCAAAUCUUAUAUGGAUCUAUCAUUUGUGCUCAAAUUUUCAAUUUGAAGCAAGGUAAUGAUUUAGUUACUAGCUACUUACUAAGAUGAAGGUUUUAUGGGAUGAAUUAGAUGUGAUGGUUCCACUAUCAUCUUGCUGUGUUGAGUCUACACAAUACACCGAUCACCUUAAGUCACAAAGGUUGAUCCAGUUUUUAAUGGGACUGAAUAAGAGCUACGGUAGCAUAAGAAGUAACUUGCUUGCAAAAGGUUCUAGUGUGACAGUAAAUGAAGCAUAUGCAGUAACUGCACAAUAGGAGAGUCAAAGGUCUAUGGGAGUAGUUGAUGUGCAUAGAGAACCAUUGACUAUGUUGGCAGACAACACACAAGUAUACAGAGACAAAACACCAGUUCAAGGACCAGCUUGUGGGGAGUGUGGUUACAAGGGUCAUAGAACUAAGGAUUGUUACAAGCUAGUUGGAUACCCUGCUGACUUCAAAAGCAAAAAGAAGACUAGACAAAGUUCUUCUCAGAUGAAGCCGUUGCCAACUCAACUACAGCUGGAGAUAUUGGAGAAUCAAUUAGAUCACAUCACAAAGGUGGAGGACUGUUUACACCACAACAAUACCAGGAAGUGUUGAACAAACUAGAUGAGUCUGGUCCUACAAACUAUGUUGCUAAUAUGGCAGGGCCUCUUCAAUUGCAAGGUGAUGGGGAUUGGUAGAGAAAGAGAUGGAUUGUACAUUUUGCAGGAUUCCGAUCCAAUAAAAGUUCCAACAACAAGUAAUUCUCUAGUUACAAGUAGUCCACCUUUGGCACAUGAGAUUGGGUCAUGCUUCUGUAGGAGCCAUGAAUCACAUUUCAUCCCUCAAGUUCAAAGUAGAUGAUAGGGUUCAAUAGUUUUGUGAAGUUUGUCCUCUAGCAAAACAUCAUAGGUUGAAGUUUCCUGUUAGCAGUAGUAAGACAGAUGUUUGUUUCCAACUGAUUCAUCUAGAUCUUUGGGAACCUUAUAAGAAUUCUACCUAUGAUAGAAAACAACUGUUUGUUACUAUAGUAGAUGAUUUUAGUAGAUAUACUUGGAUAUGUAUGAUACAAUCUAAAUGUGAAGUGUUUGCUGUACUGCAAGAUUUCUUGUGCUUAAUAAAGAAUCAAUUUGAUAGUACUGUUAAAGUGUUGAGAUCUAAUAAUGGUUCAGAAUUCUUCAAAUCUAAAUGCACUAAUCUGUUGGCUUCACAUGGUAUUAUUCAUUAAAGUAAUUGUCCUUACAUACCAAAACAAAAUGGCACUGUGGAAAGGAAGCAUAAACACAUACUUGAAGUUGCUAGAGCUUUGAGAUUUUAAAGUGCAAUACCUAUUUGUUUUUUAAGGAGAUUGUGUGAGGACUUCCAUAUAUUUAAUCAACAAGUUGCCUUCACAUGUUCUAGGUGGUAAAAGUCCUUAUGAGCUGUUGUUUGGUAAAGUACCAAAGCUAAAUCAUUUGAGAGUUUUUGGCUGUCUUUGUUAUGCAAGGCAACUACCUAGAGGUGAUAAGUUUACAGCAAUGGCAAGGAAAGUUGUUCUAGUUGGGUACUCAGAAACUCAGAAAGGUUAUAGACUUUAUGAUCUGGUGUCAAAGAUGUUAUUUAUUAGUAGUGAUGUGACAUUUAGAGAUUCAGUUUUUCCUUUCAAACAUGAUGUUGACAAUUUACAGGUUGAGGACAUGUUUUUGCAUUCAGUUCCUGAUGGUUCAAAGGAGCCUGAUAUUACAUCUGAUCCACAAAUGGAUAUGCAGUAUGAAAAUCAUGGUGAUGAGUCCAUUCUCACCAUUCAAUCCACUGAUGCCUCACCCACAAAGGAUAAUACUACACCAGGUCAAUAAGGAGAUGCAGAUACUGAAUUCACCAAUGAAGAAUCACCAAAUAUUAUUGCUCCAGUUGCAGAUGAGACUGAGACAAUAGAUGACAUUCCUACAGAUGAAGCAGUGACUCAUGAUGUUAGCAUACAGAUUCCUUUACUUCAGCAUCAUGCAGCAGUAGAUGAGCAAAUGCCAAUUGUACCAGAUGAACAGCACCAGGCCAGGCCUGCCAGAAAUGCCAAACCUCUUAUUUAGCAUAGUCACUAUGUCAUGACACACAAGCCUGGAGGACGGUGCUCAUAUCUUUUAUCCAAACAUAUCAUAUACGCACAUUUUCCUUUUGCCUAUCAAUAUUAUCUAAAGUGUUUUUCAGCAGUUGUUGAACCUAAGAGCUUCAAAGAUGCUUCUAAUGAUCCAUUAUGGAUAGAAGUAGUGUAAAAGGAAGUUGAUGCCCUGGAGGGAAACAACACAUGACCACAUGGUAAGUAGGCAAUUGGAUCAAACUAGGUGUACAAGAUCAAGUUCAAAGGCAAAUGGUGAGGUGGACAAGUA
Long non-coding RNA from Lycium barbarum (goji berry), 5100 nucleotides. RefSeq lists it as uncharacterized. NCBI's taxonomy places the organism in Eukaryota, Viridiplantae, Streptophyta, Magnoliopsida, Solanales, Solanaceae. The transcript has 3 exons. The record is from RefSeq and is a predicted model, not a curated record.